This 4791-nucleotide long non-coding RNA is filed under the name Homo sapiens (human). RNAcentral describes it as "HSALNT0340694". The record is from RNAcentral. Lineage: Eukaryota; Metazoa; Chordata; Mammalia; Primates; Hominidae.
CUUUGACAUCUGUUGUUUAUUUUACACUCACAACCCAUGUUAAUUUAUACUACCUGUAUUUCAAGUGCUCAGUAGUCAUACAUGGCUUGAGGUUACUGUAUUAGACAGUGAAGGUCUAAACAUUUUUGUAUGCUAAAAGACUUCAUAAUAUAAAUAUUUAAAAAACUAAAUUACUAUAAUAAAACAUUUUAAAUAUGCUUAUACAUAUACUUACAUAAAUAAUCUUAGCAUGGGAGAGAAUUUUAAAGCAAAAUAGAUACACAAACUCACAAAUAACUUAAUGGAAAAAGGCACAUAGACAGCUUACAUACAUGUGAAAAGAUACUCAGCCUUAUCCAUAACUAACUAAAUAAAAACAAACACAAUUUUUUAAAUCAACUUUCCAGGCAUAAUAAAAGUGUUAGGAGGAUUGUAAAGGUAUAGUAACAUGGGGGCCCUCAUGUAGAGCUGGUGGGUCACUAUGUUUAGUGGGGAGUUAUUAUUCCAUUCUAGUACAGAUAGGUAUAAAAUUCCAGGCUGAAUUUUUUUAUUUCAACAUUUUAAAUGUUUGACUGCAUUCCUCUUUCUUGCAUGGAUUUUGACAGAAAACCUACUGUAAUUCUUUUCUUUAUUCCUCUAUAGAUAGGGUAUUUAUUUUUUCUGGCUUCUUUUGAGAUUUAUUUUCUUUGCCUUUGAUUUUAUGUAGUUUGAUUAUGAUACUUCUAAAUGAAGGUUUUCAGUAUUUAAUCUGUUUGAUGCUUUCUGAGUUAGCUCGACCUGUGGUUUGAUGUCUAUUGUAACUUUGGAAAACUCUUGGCUGGGCAUGGUGGCUCAUGCCUGUAAUCCUAGAACUUUUGGAGGCCAAGACAGAAGAAUCACUUAAGGCCAGAAAUUUGAGACCAGCCUGGGCAACAUUGUGAGACCCCAUCUAAAAAAAAAACAAUUAGAGAGACAUGGUGGUGCCCACGUUUAGUUGGACCUGCUAGGGAGGCUGAGAUGGAAGGAUUGCCUGAGCCUAGGAGUUCAAGGGUGCAGUGAGCUAUGAUGGUUCCAUAGCACUGCAGCCUGGGUGACAGAGUGAGACCCUGUCUCAAAGAAAAAUUUAAUGAAAAUUCUUGGCAUUAUAAUUUAAUAUUUUUCCUGCUCUGUUCUCUACUUUUUCCUCCUGGUAUUCCAGAUAUUCCUGGUAUGUCUAUCUCACAUAUUUGGAUAUUAUCCUAUAAUUCUUGGAUGUUCAUUUGUGUUCUUAAUUUUUUUCAUUAAUUUUUGGCAUGUCUUGUACCUUUUUCACUGAACACUAGACAUGUUGUAUUGAGUAAUAGUCACUAAAGAACACAGGCUAUUAGUGUAAGGAUUUGUGUUAAUCUCUUUGGCCUCCCAAGAAGAAGGCUGUAACAGUUAAAUCCACCCCAGUGUAUUUACCUUUUAACUGCAGACGCUAGAGGCUUUAAAUUGCUCCUCUGUCCUUAUCUUUUUCUCCCCUCCUGACUCUGGGCUCUCCUGGAUGCUUUUCUUAGGGGGAGUCUGUAGCUCUUCAAGCUGUAGUCCACUGUUAUUACACAGGAACCCUGUUGGUGCAGUGGUGAGGAGUAGAGAUGGGCAAGCAUUGGAAUCUAUAAUCCUAUGACUGAGUCUCAGCCUUUUACUGUGUCCGUGUCCCUGGGCUGUGACCUUCACAGUCUUUUUUGUCUUCCUAGCUGAGACAGCAAGGCUGGAGGGGGCUAGAGUGGGAGCAAUGCCCCUGCUCCACCUGGGAUGAUGCUUUAGCAAAGUUUUUCACCUUGGGGAGCAGUCUAUUGUUAUGGAGAAUGCUCUGGGGUUAUUUCACAAUAAUUUUACAGAUCACUUUCUCCUGUCAGAGACAUGAGGAGUCUUUUUUUCUUUUUAAUCUUUACUAUGGGAACCUCAUGAGAUGCUUGGAGGUAAAACUCAAGAAAGCUUGAAGGAGCCGUCACGCUGCAACAUCCAGGACUUUAAUCACUCUCCAGUAGUCCACAAAGCCUCCAGCAAUUUGUCAAAAUUGUUAUUGAGAUAUUCCUACCAGUUUUGGCUCCAGCGCUUUCAGUGGCUUCAGAGAUUUCAGAUCUUGGCCAACAGGCCUCAGCCAUGAUUCUCUGGAUUCCCCUGUUUCUUUGGAUUUUGGGGGGGCAGUUUGCUCUACAGCUCAUUUUGUUGAUGGUAACAAGAAAAGUUAUUGAUGUUUAAUUUGUUCUGAUUUUUUUAAUUGUAAGGAUUAGGGUGAUUAAAUUCAAGCAUUUUAUAGGAACUGAAACCGGAAGUCUUCUAUAGUUUCCUUUAAAAAAUGUUCAUGUCACCAAUUUCUCUACAAGUUACAUUGAUAAAAGGAGGGAUGAAAGAAUUUUUUUUUUGUUGUUGUUAUUUUGUUUUUGAAAAUCAAGAACUAAUAUUUCAGAAGAUCAGGUCUAUUUUCCAUCUGAAUAUAAGCAGGUAGGGAAAUUGCAAUAGCAUAGAAUUAACUUGUCUUUCACUUACAGAAGUUUGACAUAACCCAAGACAACAUGUUCGUUAAAUUUCAUAGAUGCAAAAGAGAGAAUGUGAGUUGAAAUUAUUUUUUUCUAAAUGCUUUCUAUAUAUUUGUUUCUCUAAGAUCUUAAUCAUUCAUUAAUAAUGUUUAGUUUCUAAGAUUUCUCACUAAAGCUUGCUUUACUUUCUAAGUUUGUAAUUUUAAAUUCAGGCAGUUUAAAUCCUUUGGAACAUAUUUAUAAAAGUAUCCAACAAAAUCAAUUAGAGAAUGAAUAUUUUCAUGUCCUGAUCUGUAAACAGUUAAAUGUCAAAUUUUUCCAAAACAAACAAACAAAAACAAACAAACAAAGAAAUCGCCUUUGAGUAAAAACUGACAAUGGAAAAUUUCAACCAAAGGAAAAUUAUUCAUAAAAUUCAAGUGUCUUCAAAUUAAAGCUUAUAGUGGAAACUGUUUCACAACAUUAAUUAUAUUGACCAUCCUCCCCAAUGUUUAUAAUGGGUUGCAAUAUGUAAACUCAAUGAGAAAAGCCAAGUACAAAAUGUCAGGCCUAAAACCACAUAAAGGCUCUUAAUAAUUUUUCUAAUUUCUGUUCCCCUGCAGGCUUCUGUUGCAAAACAUAGAAGUCUUCUGCAAGCAGCUGCCACGCCCAUAUCUCAGAGCCCUAGUGAGUUGUAGAGAAGUUUCAAGAGUUAGAGUAUUUCCUCUGUACAGUAACUAAAAUAAUAAAAGACCACAAUUUUUAUUCAUAAAAAUUGAAUAUAAUAAAUGCAUUUUUAUUUGGGAGCUCAUUAGUGCCUUAGUCACAGAUUGGAUAUACUUGUGUCUGUAUCUGUGCCUGUGUUUGCCCUGAGGCUUAUAAAUCAAGAGAUAAUUAUUGGUCCAAAGGAAAACAGUAUGUGCACUGGGGAAAUCUGUGCUAUUCUCAACUGCUGCUAUUCUCCAGCCUUUCCUCAGUUCCAGUUCAGAUGGAUGCUUGAGCCCAGAACUCACUUUUCUAGCUCUAGUCUGAAAGGGAAUUUUGGUUUGCAAAUGGAAAGGGCAAUUGGAUUCAUAAGCCAUAGCCACUUAUCAGACACUUACUGUUUGCCAAAAAACAACCUCAUUUGCUUUCCAUCUUUAUCCUUACUAUAAUUCAAGGGGAUAAAUAUUAUCCUUCCUCUUUUAAAGAUGCCUACUAACUCUUAGGGACUGCUCUUAACUGAUUCAACAUCCUUCUGGUGGGGAGAGAGUGCCUGGGAAAAGCAAAUGAAAGGACUGUAAAAGGGAAAGGGCCAAUUCCAAAGAACAGAUGGCUGGCCCUCCAGGUGUCUUCUUGGUGAGCACCUGUUACCCUGCCAUAGCAGCCCAGUAUAGGUUUACUCAACAACUCAACAUGUAAUCAAGACAACCCUGUGAUCUUGCUGAGAUGUUCUUAUUUGUUGCCAUGGCACUAUUGGUCCUGAGGCAACUUUAAUAAAAUCAAGAUGGCACUGACUUGUAGAAACUUGGGAAAUUUCACUGUGGCUGUGAGGUUUGGCUAGAGUGUGUGGAACUAGGGCGUAGCUGUCUCCACUUCAACUCCAAAGUAGAGAUCUGGACAAGAAAGAAAGCCCCUUCCCCUAGUGCAAAAUUUUGCAAUCUCUUCAAUAGUUCACCCCACUCUCUGCCUCCAGAUACCUACAAAUCCACACCAAAUGGCUUGGUUUGGAGCAAUGUUUCUAAAAGACAUAUGAAAACUCAGUCAUAUGAGGCUGGAUGAUUACCCUGAGAGAUCAUCUCCUCCAUGCUCCUCCUUGAAAGCUUUUAGCAUUUCUUUUUUAUUUGGUCUACUCUCUGUCUGCAAACACGAAUGUUGUCUUUAUUCAUCAUCUUGACUGCAAUGGCACUGUUAGUUCCUCUACCAGCAUUGAUAGAUUAGACAAUAUAAAAAUUUCAUUUGUAAGUGUGUCAACUCUGUAAACAUGAGAACUAUAACAUUCUAUUAUAAUGGAGAAGAUUGGACUUUUAUCACCACUAUUCCAAGCAGGGGUGACAGUACCAGUUACAAGAUUCUAAAUAAAGGUGCCUCAACACAUGGAAAUAAAUACCCUGGACCAGAGGAAAUUAAAGCACAAGAAGAAAAUCAGGUCAAAAUAGGAACAAUGAAAUUAUACACACUAUAUAGGGUGACAGUAUUUGCCAUAAGUGAUUCUAAAACUUGGUUUCAAGCUUUAUGAAAAUCAAAAAAAGGCCUGACUACCAACAUAUAUGUUUGUAAGUAUCUGAAAUAAGAAAGUAUGCCAAAUGAUGAAAGGAGACAAAAACAUACUCUUCUAAUUUCUAAACAAAAUUUCUAAAAAAUUAUUAAG